UGACUUGCUUUGGGGAGGCACUACCUACCUCUGUGCAAUCUAUAAGCAUCUCCUGUCCUAGGCUGUGAGCUCCCUGGAUGGGGGAGUGGCUGGGUUAACUUUAGUGAGUCUCUACUGUAUGCACUGGGCAUCCACACCCACCAUCUCAGUCCAUGUGAACAACACGUGGAAGGCAGUGACUUUGAUCUGUUUUGAGCAUUGCUGCAACUCCACAACAGAAAACACACAGUAGGUACUAAUAAAUCUGCGGACUCACGGACAAACCAAAUGAAUGAACCUGCCCAACAGCCCUGAGGUGGAAAUUAACCCACCUGACAGAAGAAAGCUAACUUCAGAAGGAGACUUGCCCAAGAUUACACAGCUUGAAAGUGCCAGAAUUACCUCUAGUCCUCAGUUCCCAUUAAUACGACAGAGGCCAUAACACUUCAUCCUAAGGGAAAGAGGGGACUAGGUCACACGGGCCCUGAAAUCCGUUCCAAGACACCCCUGUCCCUGCAGAACAAUCCCUCCAAGAAUUAGUUCUCUCCGCUAUGAAAUGGGAGCAAAAGGCCGGGCAUGGUGGCUCACGCCUGUAGUCCCCGCACUUUGGGAGGCAGAGGCAGGCGGAUCACCUGAGGUCAGGAGUUCGAGACUAGCCUGGCCAACAUGGUGAAACCCCAUCUCUACUAAAAAUACAAAAAUUAUCUGGGCGUGGUGGCGUGCGCCUGUAAUCCCAGCUACCCUGGAGGCUGAGGCAGGAGAAUCGUUUAACCCAGGAGGCAGAGGUUGCAGUGAGCCAAGAUUGCGCCACUGCACUCCAGCCUGGUCAACAAGAGCAAAACUCCAUCUCAAAAAAUAAAUAAAUAAAAUAAAAUAAAAAUAAAUAAAAUGGAAGCAAAAAAAGGUCCCCGCUUUGCCUCCUUCCUGGGGCUACUGGGAGAGGCAUGUGGAAUGAGGCGGUGAUCUCUUUGAGAGGCACAGUCCCAAUCUCUGAAUCUGCCUGGCCCUUCUCCAGGCAGGCCCCAUGUGGUCUCUGCCUUGGAGGCUCCUAUGACAUAG
This 1038-nucleotide long non-coding RNA is filed under the name Homo sapiens (human). Its description in RNAcentral is "non-protein coding lnc-LDLRAD2-2:4". The record is from RNAcentral. Lineage: Eukaryota; Metazoa; Chordata; Mammalia; Primates; Hominidae.